This 584-nucleotide ribosomal RNA is filed under the name uncultured Glomus. RNAcentral describes it as "eukaryotic LSU rRNA". It matches the Rfam family "Eukaryotic large subunit ribosomal RNA", at positions 204 to 637 of the family's 3401-position model. The record is from RNAcentral. Lineage: Eukaryota; Fungi; Glomeromycota; Glomeromycetes; Glomerales; Glomeraceae.
CAUGGAGGGUGAGAAUCCCGUCCGGCCAACUUUUUGACGCUUUACGAUACACUUUCAAAGAGUCGAGUUGUUUGGGAUUGCAGCUCAAAAUGGGAGGUAAAUUUCUCCUAAGGCUAAAUAUUGGCGAGAGACCGAUAGCGAACAAGUACCGUGAGGGAAAGAUGAAAAGAACUUUGAAAAGAGAGUAAAAUAGUACGUGAAAUUGUUGAAAGGGAAACGAUUGAAGUCAGUCGUACCGACGAUAAAUCAGCUCCUCGAGUGCGGACUUGUGGGCGUGCGUGAGCUUUAAAACCUCGCUGUUUGCAACGUUUGUACUUUUUGGGUGUACUUUUUCGUAUGGUAGGCCAACGUCAGUUUCGAUUACCAUAAAAUGACCGGAGGAAUGUAGCUUCGAUCUCGUAUUGAAGUGUUAUAGCCACUGGUAGAUGUGGUGACUGAAACUGAGGAUUGCAACGAAUACCCUUUGGGCUAUCCGUCUGAUCUCUGAAAGUCGCUCGGGUGUCGAAAGCGUGCUUAUGGCUAUUCGAGUUGGCGGUCAAUAGGUUAGAACGUGAUUAUAUUCGUUAAGGAUGUUGACGUAAUGG